RNAcentral lists this ribosomal RNA (253 nucleotides) under uncultured bacterium. RNAcentral describes it as "partial 16S ribosomal RNA". It matches the Rfam family "Bacterial small subunit ribosomal RNA", at positions 524 to 776 of the family's 1533-position model. The record is from RNAcentral.
UACAUAGGUCUCGAGCGUUGUUCGGAUUCAUUGGGCGUAAAGGGCGCGUAGGCGGCCUGUUAAGUCGAACGUGAAAUCCCCGGGCUCAACCCGGGAACUGCGUCCGAUACUGGCAGGCUUGAGUCCGGGAGAGGGAUGUGGAAUUCCAGGUGUAGCGGUGAAAUGCGUAGAUAUCUGGAGGAACACCGGUGGCGAAGGCGGCAUCCUGGACCGGUAUUGACGCUGAGGCGCGAAAGCCAGGGGAGCAAACGGG